This 74-nucleotide transfer RNA is filed under the name Yersinia intermedia. Its description in RNAcentral is "tRNA-Gly". It matches the Rfam family "tRNA". From Rfam's summary of the family: Transfer RNA (tRNA) molecules are approximately 80 nucleotides in length. The record is from RNAcentral. Lineage: Bacteria; Pseudomonadati; Pseudomonadota; Gammaproteobacteria; Enterobacterales; Yersiniaceae.
GCGGUCAUCGUAUAAUGGGAAUACUUCAGCCUUCCAAGCUGAUGCUGCGGGUUCGAUCCCUGCUGGCCGCUCCA